AACAAGGCGUACCUGCGGACCUGCGGAGGGAUCAUUACAAGUGACCCCGGUUUACCACCGGGAUGUUCAUAACCCUUUGUUGUCCGACUCUGUUGCCUCCGGGGCGACCCUGCCUUCGGGCGGGGGCUCCGGGUGGACACUUCAAACUCUUGCGUAACUUUGCAGUCUGAGUAGACUUAAUUAAUAAAUUAAAACUUUUAACAAUGGAUCU
Molecule: unclassified non-coding RNA, 211 nt
Filed under: soil metagenome
Description: partial contains 5.8S ribosomal RNA, internal transcribed spacer 2, and large subunit ribosomal RNA
Source: RNAcentral